ACAACCUUACUUGAACGCGAUCUGUUCUAUAGGCUCGUACCUUUGAGUCCUUGAGUUCUAAGGAGAGAGGAAUUUAAGUCUCAUUAAUAAACAAUGGUCGUGUGACUAGAGCGCGCGAGUAACGGCUCCCGUUUCUUCGCAGGGAUGGAGCGGCUGUAGAGGAAGGUUCUCGGCCCACGAUUGAUGGUUAGGGUGGUCACAUGGCCGUCUUACAAACU
This is a non-coding RNA of Punica granatum (pomegranate), 218 nucleotides long. The record is from Rfam. Lineage: Eukaryota; Viridiplantae; Streptophyta; Magnoliopsida; Myrtales; Lythraceae.